This 76-nucleotide transfer RNA is filed under the name Herpetosiphonaceae bacterium. Its description in RNAcentral is "tRNA-Ala". It matches the Rfam family "tRNA". From Rfam's summary of the family: Transfer RNA (tRNA) molecules are approximately 80 nucleotides in length. Their secondary structure includes four short double-helical elements and three loops (D, anti-codon, and T loops). Further hydrogen bonds mediate the characteristic L-shaped molecular structure. tRNAs have two regions of fundamental functional importance: the anti-codon, which is responsible for specific mRNA codon recognition, and the 3' end, to which the tRNAs corresponding amino acid is attached (by aminoacyl-tRNA synthetases). tRNAs cope with the degeneracy of the genetic code in two manners: having more than one tRNA (with a specific anti-codon) for a particular amino acid; and 'wobble' base-pairing, i.e. permitting non-standard base-pairing at the 3rd anti-codon position. The record is from RNAcentral. Lineage: Bacteria; Bacillati; Chloroflexota; Chloroflexia; Herpetosiphonales; Herpetosiphonaceae.
GGGGCUGUAGCUUAGUUGGGAGAGCGCCGCGUUCGCAAUGCGGAGGUCAGGGGUUCGACUCCCCUCAGCUCCACCA